RNAcentral lists this non-coding RNA (91 nucleotides) under Lotharella globosa. Lineage: Eukaryota; Cercozoa; Chlorarachniophyceae. The record is from RNAcentral.
AGUAGCAUGCGCAGUUCGGUAGAUAGCAAGUGGACAACCGGAGGCACAGGACCGGCACUCUUGCCUGGUAAAGUCAAGUCCUUCUCUGCGU